Molecule: ribosomal RNA, 393 nt
Filed under: uncultured bacterium
Lineage: Bacteria
Description: partial 16S ribosomal RNA
Rfam family: Bacterial small subunit ribosomal RNA
Source: RNAcentral
AUACGGAGGAUGCGAGCGUUAUCCGGAUUUAUUGGGUUUAAAGGGUGCGUAGGCUGUGCGUUAAGUCAGGGGUGAAAUGCCGUCGCUCAACGACGGAGCUGCCCUUGAUACUGGCGUGCUGGAGUACGGAUGCCGUUGGAGGAAUGAGUGGUGUAGCGGUGAAAUGCUUAGAUAUCACUCAGAACACCGAUUGCGAAGGCAUCUGACGAAUCCGUCACUGACGCUGAGGCACGAAAGCGUGGGGAUAGAACAGGAUUAGAUACCCUGGUAUUCCACGCCGUAAACGAUGAUGACUAGCCGUCGGCGAUAGACAGCCGGUGGCCAAGCGAAAGCGAUAAGUCAUCCACCUGGGGAGUACGUCGGCAACGAUGAAACUCAAAUGAAUUGGCGGGG